CCGAGCGGCCCGUGGGCCGGCGUCAGGCUCCCGCGCCCCAGCGGUCUGCUCCGCAGCCGCUAUGUACCCAGCGAGUCCUCCCGCAGGCUCGGCCCCGCACUUGGCCCCACACUGCGACCUCUGCCCCCCGCCCGGGCGCCUUGCGGAGCCGCCGCGGGCCCCCUUGCCCGCCCCGGACCCCGUCGCGCGCCCGCCGCACGCCGCGCCCGGGCCGCGGCCCCGCGUGGCAGUGAAGAUGGCCUUCCGCAAGGCCUACUCCAUCAAGGACAAGCUGCAAGCCAUCGAGCGCGUCAAGGGCGGCGAGCGGCAGGCCAGUGUGUGCCGAGACUUCGGCGUGCCCGGCGGCACGCUGCGCGGCUGGCUAAAGGACGAGCCCAAGCUGCGCUGGUUCCUGGACCAGCUGGGCGGCGAGGUGGGCACGCAGCGCAAGAAGAUGAGGCUGGCCAACGAGGAGGAGAUCGAUCGCGCGGUCUACUCUUGGUUCCUCACGCUGCGCCAGCACGGCGUGCCACUGUCGGGGCCGGUCAUCCAGGCACAGGCUGAGGCCUUCGCGCGCCAGAUCUACGGCCCCGAGUGCACCUUCAAGGCUAGUCACGGCUGGUUCUGGCGAUGGCAGAAGCGCCAUGGCAUCUCCAGCCAGCGCAUCUACGGCGAGGCCGAGCCCCCGCCUGCUGGAUCCGCGCCUGGCCCACCAGUCAAGGAGGAGCCGGCGCAGCCUCCAAGCGGCGGCCCGCUGCCCAACCGGGCACUGGCCGCGCCGCCCCCAGCCGAAGGCGGCUAUGGUGACGAGCAGAUCUACAAUGCCAACGUCACUGGCCUUUACUGGAGGCUGCUUCCGGAGCAGGCUGCACCCCCGGGCACAGAGGACCCCAGGGCGAGGGUCUGCGGCUGGCGCGCCGACCGGGUGACAGUGCUGCUGGCCGCCAACUUGACAGGCAGCCACAAGUUGAAGCCACUGGUCAUCGGGCAGCUGCCGGACCCGCCCAGCCUGCGCCACCACAACCAGGACAAGUUCCCGGCCUCCUACCGCUACAGCCCCAAUGCUUGGCUCAGCCGCCCGCUGCUACGCGGCUGGUUCUUUGAGGAAUUCGUUCCGGGCGUCAAGCGCUACCUGCGUCGAAGCUGUCUGCAGCAGAAGGCGGUGUUGCUGGUGGCCCACCCGCCCUGGCCAAGCUGGGCCACCAGGAUGCCCGCCCUGGAAGAAAGCGAGGAGACCCCCAGGCGGUUUGGGCCUGAGCCCUUGGGGCCCCCUGAAGAGCUGCAGACACCAGACGGCGCUGUGCGGGUUCUUUUCCUGUCCAAGGGCAGCAGCAGGGCACACAUUCCUGCACCGCUGGAGCAGGGUGUGGUGGCUGCCUUCAAGCAUCUGUAUAAGCGGGAGCUGCUGCGGCUGGCAGUGUCCUGUGCUAGCGGCUCCCCACUGGACUUUAUGCGCAGUUUCAUGCUUAAGGACAUGCUGUACCUGACUGGCCUCUCCUGGGACCUGGUGCAGGCAGGCAGCAUUGAGCGCUGCUGGCUGCUGGGCCUGAGGGCUGCCUUCGAGCCUGGACAGCAGUCAGCCCACCAAGCUGAGGAGGCUGCGGAGCACAGCAGGGCGCUUAGUGACCUCACACAUUUGGCUGCUCUGGCCUACAAGCGCCUGGCACCCGAAGAGGUGGCUGAGUGGCUGCACCUGGACGAUGAUGGGGGCCUCCCUGAGGUCUGCAGAGAGGAAGUGAGCCCUGUCUGGCCCCCUGCAUUGGCCCCUCUAUCCCCAGCCAGCCUGCCCUCUAGCAUGGGGGGUGGAGAAGAGGAGGAGGAGGAGGAGGUCACUGAGCGUGGUGGGGUGUUGGUACCCACUGCAGGGGAGGCUGUGUGGGGGCUGGAGACAGCUCUGCGGUGGCUGGAGAGCCAGGACCCCAAUGAGGUGGGGCCACUGAGGCUGGUACAGCUGCGCUCACUCAUCAGCAUGGCUCGGAGGUUGGGGGGCAUUGAACCUUCCCCAGCAGUUUCAGAUGACAGUGUGUGACCACACUGACCCAAUGGCCUUUUUCCUGUACUCUGAAGGAGAGGCAUGCACAGUCUCACAUCUCCCUCCCUCUCUUCUCCCUGAGGUGGCCCACCACAUGGGCCCAGGGGUUAUUGGGUCCAAGCCCAGUCCAGCUUGGAGGGGGUCCUUUGAUGAAGUGAUGUCCUGCCCCAUGGUCCACAGUCUUCUGGGGGGAUACCAAAAGAGAGGCCUCAGCUCACACUCUUCCCUGAGCAGUCAUAUAUGUGGGGUUCCCCCUAAACAUGCUGGGCACCCAGUCACAGCAUCUGAGAGCAGUUGACUGUGCUCUUGCUCUGGCCCCUGUGGGGCUCACACCUUCCUCUCCCCAGCAGGUUAUAUGUGCACUGGAUGAGGCCUCUGCGCCAUCGUUCUGCAGCCCUGGUGCUACUUGGUCCUAUCAUCUCAGUGGAGAAGUAAACCACUUGUUUGCUCUUUUUUUUUUAAACACAUUGAAUCUGAAUCUGUUUUUAAAGGUGCUCUUCAGAGGGGACAGUGAGAACAAGGGCAGUAUGAGAUGGUCUCUGAGUUGCUCCUGCCCUUGCUCUGGAAACUACAGGUUCCCAUCCUCCUGGAUCAGAGCCCAGACCCAGUGCCCAGGAGGCCCAAGCCAGUUGCUCACAAUGAAGUGGUAAGGGGAGGAUGGACUCAGUACUGAGGUUCUGGAUGCAGCAGGGAGUGUAGACUUCUGUUCCACUUGGAUUCUAAGUCCUUAAGAUUUCAUUCUCAGCACAUCUUUUAUUCCAUGGGUUUGGCAAGUGUUGAGAUUUGGUCCCUGAUUGAUUCCCUCAUUGACCCCAGAACACUGUCUAACCCCAGGGCUUGGAUCCACAUAACCUACCUCGGAACAGGCCUGGCACUGGCAGCCAUCUGGGGACAAUCCACAGUGCCUUAGUGCAACCCCCUUGGGCUCUUUUUGCCCCAGCCCCCCUCCCCAAAUUUUUCCACUUCUUGAUACUGCCAAGGGUGUGACAGAGGAGCUGCUUCUGGGUAGCUCAGUUUGAGAGUGUAGAAAGGGCCAGGUGACUGUCCAUCACUCAUGCCAUUCUGUUGCUCUGUCCAGUUCUAGAUUCAGAAGUCUCCCAAUGGCCUAGGACUAAGAGGUGCCCAUGCCUUUUGCUGCUUUGGCAGAGAUGUUGCCCUGAACCCUCAUGAGGAGUCUGGUGCCAGGGCUGAGGAGGACCCCAUGUCCUCACCUGAUGUCCUAGUAGUCUAAGCCUUGAACACAAAAACAGUUGGUGAGUGCAGGUGCCUGUGCACAGACAUUAUGUCCAUGGACCAGAAGGGCUGUAACUGACAGUGGAGCAGUGGGAGGAAGUACCUCCCCAGAGCAGUUUCCACUCGGGUCUAAGAACAAACAGCUCCUUGGAACUGCCCCAGUCCAAAAAAAAAAAGAACAUGUGCUUGUGUGACACACACAUGUAAUAUUAUACAUAUCUCAAACCUGAGUGCAAGGGAAGGUAUGAGAAUCUGGGAGGAAGAGAAUCAAAAGUCUGCCUGUCUAGGUUUAGGCAGCAGCCUCCAUCCAUACCUGCUGAAGCUCAUCUGGCCACCUCCAUGUCCAACCUCCUGGAGCCUGCAGACCUAGAAACUCUUUGGUGGUCAGGGCUGGCUAAGGAUCUCCAGCCUAAGUAGCUGGGACUGGGCCCCAGGAGAUCUAAAGCAUUUACACCAGAGCCUUCAUAUCUACCCAGCACCCAGACUAGGAGCUGGUACCCUGCUCCUCUGGCUCUGCCUCCAGGGCUCUGAGGAAAAGUGAACUUUGGAUCAGGAGCAUGGUGAGGACUGCACACCGGACCUUAGUGUGCAUGCAGACUGGGUAGCCUCAAGUAGCAGCCCUCUUGCUGUCUAAGAAACCAGGGGUGAGACCUCUUACUUGUUCACCACCUGUCCCAUGCCUCUUGAAAGGACACUCAUGGCCUGGGAGGUGGUUCUGGUCUGUCCCUUUGGCACCAGAUGACCACUCUAUAAACAAGCUAAGUGCAGGCCGGCAGGGUUUUAGGGAGCUCUUUAGUGUCUGUCAAGUUGUGGAUUUGUGUACUGACAUUUGCUGGUCCGUGAAACACCCCGAGAGGGCUCAGAAGGUGUUGCCUUGGGCCGGAGAUGUUGCUCAGUGGAAGAGCAUCUGCCUUGCGUACAUGAAGCCCAGGGAUGGAUCCUCAGCACCACACACACACACAAAAAAAGUGUUUUUGUAAAAUGGGAUACACUGGUGUUCCUGUGGGCCAUGGGCAGUUUCAGGUGGUUGUCGCCUGCUUGUGGAGAGAGCUGCUCUGCUCUGAUCCCUGGCCCCAUGGGCAUCCACAGCUAUGGGUCUCAGGGACCCCUGGGGCCUUGCAGUGGUGCACAGAUGCUUAGCCCCAACCAUAGCUCUACCACUGGCUCACAGCCACCCCAUUUCUGGGUUUGGCUCUGUGGUAGGGAUACCCCAGGGUUCAUGGACCCCUUCAGGAGGGCUGCAUAUCCAGCUGGCCUGUGCCCCACUGCUGUUCGCUGUGGGCUUUCUGAGUUUGCCACCUCUGGCUUGAGAUAACAUGGCAAGUCACUGGGGAGCUUGAAGCUGCAGUUUCUCCUUGGCAGGUGGCAGCCCUUGGGCUGUGGUAAUGCUGGCAGAUAGCAGCUUCUGCUUCAGGGUCAUUAACAAAGUUCCUGGGCUGGGGAAGGGAAGGCAUUGUGAAUAAAAAGGCAAAUGCAGGUUGUUGAAGCCAUCACCAAACCACUGUUUUUUGGGGAAGGAUAUGGCUGAAGCAGCCACAGGCGGUCUUCCCCCAGGCCUCUGCACACUUGGGAAGUGACUGCCUGAACAUCAGUUGGGCUGUGGAUGGAACAGCAUGCUCGGAGAGGGAGAGAAGGGGGAGCUCCCUAAGCUGGGGACAUGGUCCUCCAGGAGCCUGGCAAUCUGGCCCUCACUGGGUGUGCCCAAGGGUGACACCUGACCCCAGCAGUGUGUCCUCAAGAAGACCGUAGGCAUGUGAGGUUCACGCAGUGUCCAGGGACCUUCCUCUAGCACUCAGCCCACUCACAACUGAGUGCUCACGGCCACAUAGCCCAAUGGCACUUGUGUAAUAAAUAUGGAACAUGUCAACUUCAUGAGCACCUAUUUCA
RNAcentral lists this long non-coding RNA (5131 nucleotides) under Marmota monax (woodchuck). Lineage: Eukaryota; Metazoa; Chordata; Mammalia; Rodentia; Sciuridae. The record is from RNAcentral.